Molecule: long non-coding RNA, 420 nt
Filed under: Homo sapiens (human)
Lineage: Eukaryota; Metazoa; Chordata; Mammalia; Primates; Hominidae
Description: HSALNT0212065
Source: RNAcentral
CCCACUUUUGGCAAUAGAGAGGAGAAAAAAAAAUAACAAGAAAAUGACCAUGGAAAGUAACAACAACUGAAAACGGAUAAAAUGAAGAUGUGUGAAAGAGCACAAGAGUGCAAAACCAAAAGUAUACAAGGAGUGUUUAUGCAGUAACCACUUUAGAAUGCCUUUCCUCAUGUUUGAAGACUUCUAAACUAGGGCAAGGACAGAUCCCAGCAACUACUGGAAGCAUAAUAAAGGAGAAGAAUGAGGCAUUUUCUUCUCUCAUAUACAGAUUAUAUGUAAUUAGGAUGCUAAGGAUAAUUUUGUAACAUAAAAACGGAGAUGCUAAGGAGAAUGGUUUCACCCUAGUUUAUAGAAGGAGGGUAUACUAUGGUCUAUCAAAGACUGAAAAUUGUCCUCUGCUAAUAAAGUCUCAAAUCAGGG